Molecule: transfer RNA, 65 nt
Filed under: Dinoderus minutus
Lineage: Eukaryota; Metazoa; Arthropoda; Insecta; Coleoptera; Bostrichidae
Description: tRNA-Ser
Source: RNAcentral
GAAAUAUGAUAAUCAAGAAGAAGCUUCUAACUUCAACUUAAGCGGUGAAAUCCGUUUAUAUUUCU